GUGUGUGUGGUUCCGAUGCACUAGUAUCUGCUGUUCUUCGAUCCGAUGCUAGCUGAUCUGAUCCCGACGGUUGUCUCUGUUCUUGUCCGCGAGGGGCCGGGCGAGCGGGGUGCGCAGUGGACGGAGUUCGUCUCGUGGGAGCCCAGGGCGUUCGUCUACCACAAGUUCCUGAUUUCUUAGCAAGAUCAGACAGACAAAAAGGAAGGUUCACACAAGAUACAACAUGGGUGUCAAGGUGCGCAUAGGUGCAUUCACAAAGAGAAUUCUGAAGCUUCAUCGCGUGCCCCACCAGACCACGUUGUCGACGAGUGCGUCCGUCACCACUCCCUUUGCCAUCGUGGCUCACAAUUUUUGUUCUACAACAAUUGAUGUAGCGUCUUUCACUGAAUCUUCCACUGUUCCGAUUACCAACACGACUCUUAUGUAAUUAUCAUGGUGCUAAUGCUAUAUUUAUCAGGGUGCUAAUGAUAUAUUUAUCACACUUGCUAUUGCUAAAA
Molecule: long non-coding RNA, 497 nt
Organism: Aegilops tauschii subsp. strangulata
Lineage: Eukaryota; Viridiplantae; Streptophyta; Magnoliopsida; Poales; Poaceae
Source: RefSeq, a predicted model, not a curated record